CCCCUAGAUGUUCUGGGCCGCACGCGCGCUACACUGAACAGUUCAACAAGUCUUAACCUUGGCCGAUAGGUCUGGGUAAUCUUUGAACGCUGUUCGUGAUUGGGAUAGACCUUUGCAAUUAUGGGUCUUCAACGAGGAAUUCCUAGUAAACGCAAGUCAUCAGCUUGCAUUGAUUACGUCCCUGCCCUUUGUACACACCGCCCGUCGCACCUACCGAUUGAAUGGUCCGGUGAAAUCUCGGGACGGCGACUCGGUCGCUUGCAUCCGACUGCUGAAACUUGAUUAAACCAUNUNAUUUAGNGGAAGGUGAANUCGUANCA
This 320-nucleotide ribosomal RNA is filed under the name uncultured eukaryote. RNAcentral's name for it is "partial 18S ribosomal RNA". It matches the Rfam family "Eukaryotic small subunit ribosomal RNA", at positions 1470 to 1796 of the family's 1831-position model. The record is from RNAcentral.